AGAGAGAGACAUGCGCGCAUAUCAAUAAGCGGAGGAAAAGAAACUAACAAGGAUUCCCUUAGUAACGGCGAGUGAAGCGGGAAGAGCUCAAAUUUGAAAUCUUCAAGGUUUUACCUUGACGAAUUGUAGUUUAAAGAAGUGUUUUCUGCUGAAGUUUUGGUAAAAGUUCUUUGGAAUAGGACAUCAUAGAGGGUGAGAAUCCCGUAUUUGACCAUUAUUUUCAGCUCUUGUGAUACACUUUCAAAGAGUCGGAUUGUUUGGGAAUGCAGUCCAAAAUGGGUGGUAAAUUUCAUCUAAAGCUAAAUAUUGGCGAGAGACCGAUAGCGAACAAGUACCGUGAGGGAAAGAUGAAAAGAACUUUGAAAAGAGAGUUAAACAGUACGUGAAAUUGUCAAAAGGGAAGCGUUUGACACCAGUGUUGUUUUCUCGAAAAUCAAUUAAAAAUGGCUCGAUUUCGUAUUGUUUGAGACCUUAAAAGCUCACUGUACAUUUUUCGUGUCUUUUUUAAUGCACUUUUCGUUUAACAAGUCAACAUCAGUUUCUUUUGUUGUAAAAGGGUCAUUGGAAGGUGGCUUUCUUUUCGGAGAAAGUGUUUAUAGCCUUUGGCCUCUGCAAUCGAAGAGACUGAGGUCUGCAGCGUAGACUCUUCGGGGUUAGAUACAUUUGUGCUAAGUUAUAGCUUUUUAUAGACAACUUGUUGACUAUAAUUAGUCUUGUAGCUUACUCGCUUAUGCUAUUUUACCUACGCUUAGGAUGUUGAAGAUGUAGCACAUCAU
This 776-nucleotide ribosomal RNA is filed under the name uncultured Neocallimastigales. Its description in RNAcentral is "partial large subunit ribosomal RNA". It matches the Rfam family "Eukaryotic large subunit ribosomal RNA", at positions 23 to 620 of the family's 3401-position model. Lineage: Eukaryota; Fungi; Neocallimastigomycota; Neocallimastigomycetes; Neocallimastigales. The record is from RNAcentral.